GAAAAUGUUUGUUGAACAAUGCGAUCCCUACACUAUUUCCGACUCUUAAAAGAAAAGUUGUGGAAGAAGAGGAUGAUAGUAAAACUAAUAUUUCACAUCAAUCUUUAAAGAAGAUGUGAUUUUGUCAGAUGUAACAAUUCCUCCUUUCAAGCCUCCUUCCAAUUUGACCUUACCUCAGAUGACCUUACAGCAACCUUUAUUGGAGCCUUCUUUUGAUGUGGCCACUAAUAUAAAUAUAUCUUCUUCGUCUUUGAUUGCACCUAUGAUGAUGACCCUCGCAGCCUUCCUUAAAGCCUUCUUGUGUGACUAGUG
This is a long non-coding RNA of Anthonomus grandis grandis, 312 nucleotides long. RefSeq lists it as uncharacterized. The transcript is spliced from 3 exons. Lineage: Eukaryota; Metazoa; Arthropoda; Insecta; Coleoptera; Curculionidae. The record is from RefSeq and is a predicted model, not a curated record.